AAAACUAUCUCCUCUUCCUACUGUAUAUUCAUGAAAAAUGUCUUUAUAUCAGACACUCAUUAUAACAUCACAUAUCUUCCUUUCUCCCUGUUAUAACCCGCGAUGUUCUGCGGGUAUGUUUUGUGUGUGUGCGCUUAGUCUGUGCAGAUUGGUCCAUUCCAUACUCCAGUCCGGGCCUUCCUACUCUGGCUCAGCUGCUGCUCCAUCACCGUUGUGUUGCGGCUUCCGCCCCAAGAUGACGUCAUCGAUAGGCGACAGUAUUUGGAGGCGACGAAAGCCAGUGCCCCCAGUUUUGAAUUAUCGAUGCUCACCCCAUUGCAUUUGUGGUUGUGCGUGUUAGUCCGCUCCGUGUUUCUGUUGUGAUAUUUCUGGUUUUGAUCUGUGCCUUAGUUUUUGUCUGCUGCCUAGAUUUGUAAAUAGUCACGCUGCUCUCUCUCUCUCCCUAUAUAUAUAGCAGAGUGAUUAUUUACAAAUAAGAGAGAAGUAGUAUAAGGAUCACAUCACUGCCUAUACAAAAGCAGUCAUCCUUUAUUUAAUUUGAGUUGACCAUAUUCUAAUCUCAACUGUUUUAAGACUGAAGUUUGUGACACUGUAUGGAAAAAAUAUCUGCCCUCUAUGUGAUAAACUUGAAAUGCGGUUCAUUGGAAAAAUCCUGAGAGAAGCACCAAGGCUGGAUGAGGCAAAGUCCUGUCAAAGCAGAUGGGGAAGGUCACCCAGAAAAAGAUUACAUCAGUCAACGCUCGUGUCUCCAGUCUACUAAAGAAACUACUGGACUUUGAGUGAAACUUUAUAUAACUGUCCAGUUUAGGUGAACCAGUUGUACAUUGGAGAAACUAAGAAAGAGCUCAUCUACACUCUUCGAACUUUGGAACCCCAAAGAAUGUAUCUAAUGUUUUGAGAACAGCUGUUGACAUUGGCCAACAUUUCAAAUCUGUAUUGGUUUAUGUCCACACAAAUGAUGAAGGACUUUUGUCUGAAAAGUCCUGUUUCUCUGGAAACUUUGUAUACUACACCUAACCUUUAUUAUAAUCUACUAUUAUACUACUAGUACUUCCAGUAUUCUUCUUCAGAAUUUAUAUAUAGCUCAUGAUCCAAAGUAUACCAUAUCAUGUGUCAAACAUGGUGGAGGCAGUGUUAUGGCAUGGGCAUGUAUGGCUGCCAAUGGAAUGGGCUCACUGGUGUUUAUUGAUGAUGUGACUGCUGACAGAAGUAGCAAGAUGAAUUCUGAGGUGUAUAGGGCUAUACUCUCUGCUCACAUUCAGCCAAAUGCUACAAAACUGAUAGAACGCCACUUCACAGUGCAGGUGGAUAAUGACCCUAAACAUACUGCGAAAACAACUCAAGACUUUUUGAAGGCAAAGAAAUGGAAUAUUCUUCAAUGGCCAAGUCAGUCGCCUGAUCUCAACCCAAUAGAGCAUGCUUUUCACUUACUGAAGACAAGACUGAAGGCAGAAAGAUCCAAAAACAAGCAGCAACUGAAAGUGGCUGCAGUGAAGGCCUGGCAAAGCAUCUCCAGGGAGGAAACUCAAAAUUUGAGUUUUGAGAACAUGGGCUCCAGACUUCAGGCAGUCAUUGACUGCAAAGGAUUUUCAUCCAAGUAUUAAAAUUAUGGUUAUAUUUACAAUUAUGUCACUUUGUCCAAAUACCUUUGAGCCCCUGAAAAUGGAGGUACUUGAAAAUGGCUGUAAUUCCUAAAUGGUAAAUGCCAUAUUUUUGUGGAACCCCUUAAAAUAAAGCUGAAAGUCUAUACUUUGAUCACAUCUUGAUUGUUUUAUUUCAAAUCCAUUGUGGUGGUGUAUAAAGGCAAAAUCAUAAAAACUGUCAUUCUCCAAAUACUUCUGGACCUAACUGUGUGUGUGUGUGUGUGUGUAUAUAUAUAUACACUAUAUUACCAAAAGUAUUCGGUCACCUGCCUUGAUUCACAUAUGAACUUAAGUGCCAUCCCAUUCCUAACCCA
Molecule: long non-coding RNA, 1957 nt
Organism: Pangasianodon hypophthalmus (striped catfish)
Lineage: Eukaryota; Metazoa; Chordata; Actinopteri; Siluriformes; Pangasiidae
Exons: 3
Source: RefSeq, a predicted model, not a curated record